RNAcentral lists this small RNA (60 nucleotides) under Sinorhizobium meliloti 2011. RNAcentral describes it as "putative ncRNA". The record is from RNAcentral. Lineage: Bacteria; Pseudomonadati; Pseudomonadota; Alphaproteobacteria; Hyphomicrobiales; Rhizobiaceae.
CCCUCCGCCUGCGACGAUAUGAACAGAUCGAGUAUCGCGGUACUGGUGGAUGAUCGGGUC